RNAcentral lists this transfer RNA (73 nucleotides) under Methanolinea tarda. RNAcentral describes it as "tRNA-Thr". It matches the Rfam family "tRNA". From Rfam's summary of the family: Transfer RNA (tRNA) molecules are approximately 80 nucleotides in length. Lineage: Archaea; Methanobacteriati; Methanobacteriota; Methanomicrobia; Methanomicrobiales; Methanoregulaceae. The record is from RNAcentral. RNAcentral also lists the same sequence under 1 other name.
GCCUUUGUGGCUCAGUCGGUAGAGCGACACCUUGGUAAGGUGUAGGUCGGGGGUUCGAUUCCCCCCAAAGGCU